Molecule: ribosomal RNA, 254 nt
Filed under: uncultured bacterium
Lineage: Bacteria
Description: partial 16S ribosomal RNA
Rfam family: Bacterial small subunit ribosomal RNA
Source: RNAcentral
UACGAAGGGGGCUAGCGUUGCUCGGAAUGACUGGGCGUAAAGCGUGCGCAGGCGGUUUUGUAAGCCAGAUGUGAAAUCCCCGGGCUUAACCUGGGAAUGGCAUUUGGGACUGCAAGGCUUGAGUGCGGCAGAGGAGACUGGAAUUCCUGGUUGUAGCGGUGAAAUGCGCAGAUAUCAGGAGGAACACCGGUGGCGAAGGCGGGUCUCUGGGCCGAUACUGACGCUGAGGAGCGAAAGCGUGGGGAGCGAACAGG